This is a long non-coding RNA of Taeniopygia guttata (zebra finch), 2870 nucleotides long. NCBI's taxonomy places the organism in Eukaryota, Metazoa, Chordata, Aves, Passeriformes, Estrildidae. The record is from Ensembl.
CCCUCGGGACCAUCUGGGCACACCGGGGACAGCUGGGGACAGCGGGACAGGUGGCACUGGUGGCGCGGGUGACACCGGUGGCGCGGGUGGCACUCGGACAGGUGGCACUGGUGACACCGGUGGCACUCGGACAGGUGGCACUGGUGGCACUGGUGGCACUGGGGGGGAGGGGAACAGGUGGUGAGGGGGAGGGGAGGGGGGGAGGGGAGGGGACAGCGGGGCUGGGCUGGGCUGGUUAUACUGGGUUGUACUGGGUUUACUGGGUUGUACUGGUUUAUACUGGGUUAUACUGGUUUGUACUGGGUUGUAUUGGUUUAUACUGUCCAUACUGUUUAUACUGGGUUACACCGGUCCAUACUGGUCCGUACUGGAUUACACUGGUCCAUACUGGUUUAUACUGGUCCAUACUGGUUUAUACUGGUCCAUACUGGUCCAUACUGGUUUAUACUGUCUGUACUGGUCCAUACUGGUCCAUACCAGUCCAUACUGGUCCAUACUGGAUUAUACUGGUCCAUACUGGUCCAUACUGGUCUGUACUGGUUUAUACCAGUCCAUACUGGUUUGUACUGGUCCAUACUGGUCCAUACCGGUCCAUACUGGAUUACACUGGUUUAUACUGGUCCAUACUGGUCCAUACUGGUCCAUACUGGUUUAUACUGGUGCAGGUCAUGGACGCCCCCUCAGAUGAAGGUGACGAUGACGAUGAUGAGCAGCCGCUGCCGCAGGAGCGCCCCCUGCAGGCCGUGGCUGUCCCCUCCGAGGCCGGUGCUGAGGAUGAAGGUGACGAUGACGAUGAUGAGCAGUCACUGGCGCGGGCUCAGGAGCGCCUCCAGCAGGUCUGUACUGGUUUGUACUGGUUUGUACUGGUCCGUACUGGUCUGUACUGGUUUGUACUGGUCCGUACUGGUCCGUACUGGUUUGUACUGGUUUGUACUGGUGGCAGAUCAUGGACGCCCCCUGGGAGGCCGCUGACGAUGAAGGUGACGAUGAUGAGGAUGAGGAGUCGGUGGCGCGGGCCCAGGAGCGGCUCCUGCAGGUCUGUACUGGUUUAUACUGGUCUGUACUGGUUUUUACUGGUUUGUACUGGUCUGUACUGGUCUGUACUGGUUUUUACUGGUUUGUACUGGUUUAUACUGGUCUGUACUGGUUUGUACUGGUCUGUACUGGUCUGUACUGGUCUGUACUGGUUUGUACUGGUCCGUACUGGUCCAUACUGGUUAUUCUGGUUUAUUCUGGUCUGUACUGGUUUAUACUGGUCCAUAAUGAUCCAUACUGGUCUGUGCUGGUUUAUACCGGUCUGUACUGGUUAUACUGGUCCUUACUGGUUUAUACUGGCCCAUACUAGUCCAUACCGGUCUGUACUGGUCCAUACUGGUCCGUACUGGUCUGUUCCGGUCCAUACUGGUCCAUACUGGUCCAUACUGGUUUAUACUGGUUUAUACUGGUCCAUACUGGUCCAUAUUGGUUUAUUCUGGUCCAUACUGGUUUAUACUGGUUUAUACUAGUCCAUACUGGUCCAUACUGGUCCAUACUGGUCCAUACUGGUCCAUACCGGUCCAUACCGGUCCAUACUGGUCCAUACUGGUCCAUACUGGUCCAUACCGGUCCAUACUGGUCCAUACUGGUCCAUACUGGUCCAUACUGGUCCAUACUGGUCCGUACCGGUCCAUACUGGUCCAUACUGGUCCAUACUGGUCCAUACUGGUCCAUACUGGUCCAUACUGUUCCAUACUGGUCCAUACCGGUUUAUACUGCUCCAUACCGGUCCAUACUGGUUUAUACUGGUCCAUACUGGUCCAUACUGGUCCAUACCGGUCCAUACUGGUCCAUACUGGUCCAUACUGGUCCAUACUGGUUCCAUACUGGUCCAUACCAGUCCAUACUGGCCCAUACUGGUUUAUACUGGUUUAUACUGGUCCAUACUGGUUUAUACUGGUUUAUACUGGUUUAUACUGGUUUAUACUGGUUUAUACCGGUUUAUACCGGUUUAUACUGGUCCAUACUGGUCCAUACCGGUCCAUACCGGUCCAUACUGGUCCAUACUGGUCUGUACUGGUCCAUACAGGUCUAUACUGGUUUAUACUGGUUUAUACUGGCCCAUACCAGUCCAUACCGGUCCAUACUGGUCCAUACCGGUCCAUACUGGUCCAUACUGGUUUAUACCGGUCCGUACUGGUUUAUACCGGUUUAUACUGGUCCAUACUGGUCCAUAUUGGUCCAUACUGGUUUAUACCAGUCCAUACUGGUCCAUACUGGUCCAUAUUGGUCCGUACUGGUUUAUACUGGUUCAUACCGGUUUAUACUGGUUUAUACUGGUUUAUACCGGUCUGUACCGGUCCGUACCGGUUUAUACUGGUUUAUACCGGUCCAUACUGGUCCGUACUGGUCCAUACUGGUUUAUACUGGUCUAUACUGGUUCAUACCGGUUUAUACUGGUUUUUACUGGUUUAUACUGGUCUAUACUGGUGCAGGCGCUGAUGUCCCGCGCCGGGCGGGCGCUGCCGCUCCGGGAUCUGGGUCAGGACUGGCAGCUGCUGCGGGAGCUCGGCAGCGGCUCCUACGGACGCGUCGUGAUGGCCCGGCCCCGGCGCGGAGGUGAGUGUACCUGGGCACCUGGGCACACCUGGGCACACCUGGGGGCACCUGGGCACAGCUGGGGAUACACCUGGGAGCAUCUGGGGCACCUGGGCACAGCUGGGCACACCUGGGGAUACACCUGGGGGCACCCUGGGGCACCUGAAAUACACCUGGGGGCACUUGGGGAUAUCCACAGACACACCUGGGCACACUUGGGGCACCUGGGGCACCUGGGGCACCUGAAAUAUACCUGGGCACACCUGGGCACCUGGGGAUACACCUGGGGCACCUGG